RNAcentral lists this ribosomal RNA (252 nucleotides) under uncultured bacterium. Its description in RNAcentral is "partial 16S ribosomal RNA". It matches the Rfam family "Bacterial small subunit ribosomal RNA", at positions 524 to 776 of the family's 1533-position model. The record is from RNAcentral.
UACGUAGGGGGCGAGCGUUGUCCGGAAUUACUGGGCGUAAAGCGCGCGCAGGUGGCUUGUUAAGUCAGGUGUCAAAAUGCGGGGCUCAACCCCGUACCGCACUUGAAACUGGCAGGCUUGAGUGCAGGAGAGGAAAGUGGAAUUCCUAGUGUAGCGGUGAAAUGCGUAGAUAUUAGGAGGAACACCAGUGGCGAAGGCGCCUUUCUGGACUGUAACUGACGCUGAGGCGCGAAAGCUAGGGGAGCAAACAGG